UAAAACUGAUCCAAAGGCCAAAUUACAACCUAACCCAAUUACAAGGCCCAAUUGGCCUAAGAUAACAGAAGCCCUAAGCAGCAGGUAGCCUCAGCGCCGCACGUUCCCACGUUGCAGCAACCGCCCAUCACCCACGUCGUUUCACCCAUGAUCAGUAACUCCGCAUAACGCCGAUUCCACCUGCAAUAAAUCAAAAAACAGAGGGAUUGAUCAAAGGGGGGCAGUAGAG
Molecule: long non-coding RNA, 229 nt
Filed under: Gossypium raimondii (Peruvian cotton)
Lineage: Eukaryota; Viridiplantae; Streptophyta; Magnoliopsida; Malvales; Malvaceae
Description: long non-coding RNA (GRAI_LNC009165)
Source: RNAcentral